AGUGAACGCUGGCGGUAGGCCUAACACAUGCAAGUCGAACGGCAGCACAGGAGAGCUUGCUCUCUGGGUGGCGAGUGGCGGACGGGUGAGGAAUACAUCGGAAUCUGCCCAGUCGUGGGGGAUAACGUAGGGAAACUUACGCUAAUACCGCAUACGACCUUCGGGUGAAAGAGGGGGAUCGCAAGACCUCUCGCGAUUGGAUGAGCCGAUGUCGGAUUAGCUAGUUGGCGGGGUAAUGGCCCACCAAGGCGACGAUCCGUAGCUGGUCUGAGAGGAUGAUCAGCCACACUGGAACUGAGACACGGUCCAGACUCCUACGGGAGGCAGCAGUGGGGAAUAUUGGACGAUGGGCGCAAGCCUGAUCCAGCCAUACCGCGUGGGUGAAGAAGGCCUUCGGGUUGUAAAGCCCUUUUGUUGGGAAAGAAAUCUUUCAGGCUAAUACCCUGGGAGGAUGACGGUACCCAAAGAAUAAGCACCGGCUAACUUCGUG
RNAcentral lists this ribosomal RNA (490 nucleotides) under uncultured bacterium. RNAcentral's name for it is "partial 16S ribosomal RNA". It matches the Rfam family "Bacterial small subunit ribosomal RNA", at positions 29 to 507 of the family's 1533-position model. The record is from RNAcentral.